UACGAAGGGUGCAAGCGUUACUCGGAAUUACUGGGCGUAAAGCGUGCGUAGGUGGUUUGUUAAGUCUGAUGUGAAAGCCCUGGGCUCAACCUGGGAACUGCAUUGGAAACUGGCUGACUAGAGUGCGGUAGAGGGGUGUGGAAUUCCCGGUGUAGCAGUGAAAUGCGUAGAUAUCGGGAGGAACAUCUGUGGCGAAGGCGACACCCUGGACCAGCACUGACACUGAGGCACGAAAGCGUGGGGAGCGAACAGG
Molecule: ribosomal RNA, 253 nt
Filed under: uncultured bacterium
Lineage: Bacteria
Description: partial 16S ribosomal RNA
Rfam family: Bacterial small subunit ribosomal RNA
Source: RNAcentral